This 253-nucleotide ribosomal RNA is filed under the name uncultured bacterium. Its description in RNAcentral is "partial 16S ribosomal RNA". It matches the Rfam family "Bacterial small subunit ribosomal RNA", at positions 524 to 776 of the family's 1533-position model. The record is from RNAcentral.
UACGAGGGGGGCGAGCGUUGUUCGGAAUUAUUGGGCGUAAAGGGGGCGUAGGCGGUUUGGUAAGUCUUGGGUGAAAUCUCCAGGCUCAACUUGGAGUCUGCACGAGAAACUGCCGGGCUUGAGUGUGGGAGAGGUGAGUGGAAUUCCUGGUGUAGCGGUGAAAUGCGUAGAUAUCAGGAGGAACACCUGUGGCGAAGGCGGCGACCUGGACGGACACUGACGCUGAGACGCGAAAGCGUGGGGAGCAAACAGG